Molecule: ribosomal RNA, 460 nt
Filed under: uncultured bacterium
Lineage: Bacteria
Description: partial 16S ribosomal RNA
Rfam family: Bacterial small subunit ribosomal RNA
Source: RNAcentral
CCUACGGGAGGCAGCAGUGAGGAAUAUUGGUCAAUGGACGAGAGUCUGAACCAGCCAAGUAGCGUGAAGGAUGACUGCCCUAUGGGUUGUAAACUUCUUUUAUAUGGGAAUAAAAUGUUCCACGUGUGGGAUUUUGUAUGUACCAUAUGAAUAAGGAAAGGCUAAGUCCGUGCCAGCAGCCGCGGGAAUAAGGAGGAUCGGAGCGUUAUCCGGAUUUAGUGGGGUUAAAGGGAGCGUAGGUGGAUUGUUAAGUCAGUUGUGAAAGUUUGCGGCUCAACCGUAACAUUGCAGUUGAAACUGGCAGUCUUGAGUACAGUAGAGGUGGGCGGAAUUCGUGGUGUAGCCGUGAAAUGCUUAGAUAUCACGAAGAACUCCGAUUGCGAAGGCAGUUCACUGGACUGCAACUGACACUGAGGCUCGAAAGUGUGGGUAUCAAACAGGAUUAGAUACCCGGGUAGUC